This 298-nucleotide long non-coding RNA is filed under the name Rattus norvegicus (Norway rat). RNAcentral describes it as "long non-coding RNA NONRATT033127". Lineage: Eukaryota; Metazoa; Chordata; Mammalia; Rodentia; Muridae. The record is from RNAcentral.
AUCAGUCACUGGGAUUGGCCUUUCCUUGAUUCUCUGCUCCCUGCCUUUUGCGGGCCUGCAUUUUCAUCUCCUUCUAACAGUCAGCCUCAACUCUGCUGUGCUAAAAGUUUCCUUCAACCUACACCUCCUUACUCGUGGACUUCAGGAUGCCUUGAGGUGAAUGUGUUAUAUUCUAAACCACAAAAAAAUGAGACGAGAGAGCCACUGUUUCCUUCAAAUUAGCUACUGUACAUCAAAGAGAAAUGAAAUUCAACCGUGCUGAAGUCACUUGCAGGUGCUCACAAUGAAAGACCUUGGC